UAUGCGCUGGGAAUUAGUGCCAUCGUAGAAGAAUAUUUCAGUGAUGUAGGUUUCUCUUUUUUGGAUGACAAUAUCUCAUAGGUUUCACCUACUCUGUCCCUCGCAUGUGCGUAACGAAUCAUCACAUCCGUUUUUACGGUUUACAGCGCAUCUCCAGUAGUACGGAGUAUUUGACAAUAAAGCAGCAAAAAAGUGGAGUGUUAAAGAGGAGUAUAAAAUAUUGAAAGUGAUUGUGAACGGUGUAUGUAGGAGUAUAGUUACAGAAUGCGUUAAAUAGUGCGAUCUCGUGUUUUGUCUCAUUUUCUCUCUUUCCUCCUUCCUCUUCCACACACACAAAAUUACUGUUUGCUCUUGGAGUACCGUUACACUACGUGGUGCUCUAAGUACCUCUACGAUCACACAUUUACGUGGGGCUCAGGAAUAAGUUUAUGAACCGCACGUAAAUGUAUGGUGGUAUGGGCCCCUAGCGGUACUCCAAUAAUACUGAAUAAUCACUCCUUCCACAAACUUUUCGGGCCUCGUUCCGCUAGUUUUUUUUAUAUUUUUAAGUUCUUAUUUUUUGUUUUACGAGACAUGUCAUUCUCUCACAAUAUGUUACUUUUAAUUCAAAAAAUAAGUAAAUAAGUACUUCCUCCGUCCCUAUUUAAAUGUCCACUACAGUUUUGGUUCAUUUUUACCGGCUUAUAUUUCUCGACGUAUAUAUUACAAUGACUAUUUCGACCCCAAAUUGUCUUUAGGAUAACCAAGACAAGAAGUCAUUGGUUGUUGUGAAUUGCCCUUGUAGUCAUUGGUUGAUGUGAUUCCGUUCCGGUUCGUUAUCAAUUUUUCUCCUCUUUUUUUGGUUAUCUUUUUUGGUGUCCCUUGUGUGGAAUUUCUCUCCAUUUGCGGGGCUUCUAUCACCCUGUAUGGGUGUUUUUGGUUGUUUUUUGUAAUGCUUCGUCUGUUUGGAGCGAUGUGUUUAGUUGAAGUUUGAUGUAAUUUUUUGCCUAAAUUCCCUCCCGUUUGGUUUCUUGAUCCUUUAUUUAGGGAUGAAAUUUUCUCUUAAUGUAUUGUUUCUUGGAUUUAUAAUAUUAUCUAUUAUCGUUUUGGGGAAAAAAAUACCAUAAAGAAUUCAUAAAAUUCUCCCAAAAAAUUCAAACUCGACAAUAUUACAUAAUGCCAUUUUUUAGUUAGCGGAACACGGCAUUGUAAGAAAUUACUUUUUCGUCGUCGUCAGAACCAUUUCUAACACCUCCCAUAUUUAUUUUUUACUUUUUGAGAAAUAGUUUUAAAAAAAGAACUUUUUGUCGAAACGGUGAAAAUCCCUUUGGAGCAAUAAAUAAAUAUGCAAUAAAGUUCUUUUUUCUUAUUAUUUCUCAAAAACUACUUUAAUCCAUAUUUUUUUUCUAUUUACGGAAAUUACUUCCCUUUUUUUACUUCCAAAUUUUACCUUUUCCCGUCUCUCUCCCUUUUCUUUUAGAAAUUCGACCUCAUACCACAGUUUACCACUAAUCAAUCCCACAACCAACCGCCAAAAUCCUAACCCCAAUUUCAGAAAUUCGAAAUUAUAGCCUUAAUGCCCUCAUUUCGAAUCCUCAAACCACAAAACUCGGUUUCAAAAUCAAAAGCCCUAAAAUUACAAAUUGGAAUCAAUGGAAACCAAAACCCUUACCUCGGUUGUAAUUCACCACACUGAUACCAGACACCACCACCUCCACAACUGUCCAAAAAUCACACGAAGAAGAUAGGGGACUUUUGGAUCACGUAAUGGUCCAUAAUUACUGGACCAUUACGUUUGGUACAGGUCCUAUUUUAAGAAAAUUGUUUUUACCUAAUUAUCCCUUAUUUGUCGAGCCAUUUUCUUUGGUGUUCCCACUGUUCCUAUCCUAUCUCGCCCCACUUGAGAAAUUUUUCGGUACCGGGUGGGUACCACGUGGUGUUCGAGUAGCCCAUCCGGGUCGUACAAAAGUGUGUUGGACGGCCCAAACUGAAAUCCUCUCUCUCCUCUCACCCCACC
Long non-coding RNA from Rhododendron vialii, 1996 nucleotides. RefSeq lists it as uncharacterized. Lineage: Eukaryota; Viridiplantae; Streptophyta; Magnoliopsida; Ericales; Ericaceae. The record is from RefSeq and is a predicted model, not a curated record. The transcript has 3 exons.